GACGAACGCUGGCGGCGUGCUUAACACAUGCAAGUCGUACGGUAAGGCCCUUUCGGGGGUACACGAGUGGCGAUCGGGUGAGUAACACGUGAGUAACCUGCCCACAACUUUGGGAUAACGCUAGGAAACUGGUGCUAAUACUGGAUAUGUGCCCCUGCUGCAUGGUGGGGGUUGGAAAGCUCCGGCGGUUGUGGAUGGACUCGCGGCCUAUCAGCUUGUUGGUGGGGUAGUGGCCUACCAAGGCGGCGACGGGUAGCCGGCCUGGGAGGGUGACCGGCCACAUUGGGACUGAGAUACGGCCCAGACUCCUACGGGAGGCAGCAGUGGGGAAUAUUGCACAAUGGGCGCAAGCCUGAUGCAGCAACGCCGCGUGCGGGAUGACGGCCUUCGGGUUGUAAACCGCUUUCAGCAGGGACGAAGCUUUUUGUGACGGUACCUGCAGAAGAAGCACCGGCUAACUACGUG
This 465-nucleotide ribosomal RNA is filed under the name uncultured bacterium. Its description in RNAcentral is "partial 16S ribosomal RNA". It matches the Rfam family "Bacterial small subunit ribosomal RNA", at positions 28 to 507 of the family's 1533-position model. The record is from RNAcentral.